AUUCCAAAAUCAUCAAAACCGAAU
This 24-nucleotide small nuclear RNA is filed under the name Arabidopsis thaliana (thale cress). RNAcentral describes it as "snRNA_08081". The record is from RNAcentral. Lineage: Eukaryota; Viridiplantae; Streptophyta; Magnoliopsida; Brassicales; Brassicaceae.